Molecule: ribosomal RNA, 800 nt
Filed under: uncultured bacterium
Lineage: Bacteria
Description: bacterial SSU rRNA
Rfam family: Bacterial small subunit ribosomal RNA
Source: RNAcentral
AACGCUGGCGGCGUGGAUAAGACAUGCAAGUCGAGCGGGAUCUGGUCGAUAGCAAUAUCAAUCGGAUUCAGCGGCGAAAGGGUGAGUAACACGUGAGUAACCUGCCUCCAAGUGGGAGAUAACUCCGAGAAAUCGGAGCUAAUACCGCAUGUGAAGUCAGAUCAAAUGAUCUGACCAUCAAAGCUGGGGACCUCUAAGGCCUGGCGCUUGGAGAUGGGCUCGCGGCCUAUCAGCUAGUUGGUGAGGUAAUGGCUCACCAAGGCGAAGACGGGUAGCUGGUCUGAGAGGACGACCAGCCACACUGGAACUGAGACACGGUCCAGACACCUACGGGUGGCAGCAGUCGAGAAUUUUUCACAAUGGGCGAAAGCCUGAUGGAGCGACGCCGCGUGGGGGAUGAAGGGCUUCGGCCUGUAAACCCCUGUCAUCUGUGAACAAUGCUGUCGGGCGAACAACUCGGCAGUUGAUAGUAGCAGAAGAGGAAGGGACGGCUAACUCUGUGCCAGCAGCCGCGGUAGUACAGAGGUCCCAAGCGUUGUUCGGAUUCACUGGGCGUAAAGGGUGCGUAGGCGGUCGUGAAAGUCUGGUGUGAAAGCUUCGAGCUCAACUCGGAAACGGCAUUGGAAACUACACGGCUAGAGGGUUGGAUGGGGGACUGGAAUUCUCGGUGUAGCAGUGAAAUGCGUAGAUAUCGAGAGGAACACCGGUGGCGAAGGCGAGUCCCUGGACAACUCCUGACGCUGAGGCACGAAAGCUGGGGGAGCAAACAGGAUUAGAUACCCUGGUAGUCCCAGCCCUAA